UGCCCUAAAGUCUGGGAUACCACUUGGAAACAGGUGCUAAUACCGGAUAACAACAAUAGCUGCAUGGCUAUUGCUUAAAAGGCGGCGAAAGCUGUCGCUAAAGGAUGGACCCGCGGUGCAUUAGCUAGUUGGUAAGGUAAUGGCUUACCAAGGCGACGAUGCAUAGCCGAGUUGAGAGACUGAUCGGCCACAUUGGGACUGAGACACGGCCCAAACUCCUACGGGAGGCAGCAGUAGGGAAUCUUCCACAAUGGGCGAAAGCCUGAUGGAGCAACGCCGCGUGAGUGAAGAAGGUUUUCGGAUCGUAAAGCUCUGUUGUUGGUGAAGAAGGAUAGAGGUAGUAACUGGCCCCUAUUUGACGGUAAUCAACCAGAAAGUCACGGCUAACUACGUGCCAGCAGCCGCGGUAAUACGUAGGUGGCAAGCGUUGUCCGGAUUUAUUGGGCGUAAAGCGAGCGCAGGCGGAAAGAUAAGUCUGAUGUGAAAGCCCCCGGCUUAACCGAGGAAUUGCAUCGGAAACUGUGUUUCUUGAGUGCAGAAGAGGAGAGUGGAACUCCAUGUGUAGCGGUGGAAUGCGUAGAUAUAUGGAAGAACACCAGUGGCGAAGGCGGCUCUCUGGUCUGUAACUGACGCUGAGGCUCGAAAGCAUGGGUAGCGAACAGGAUUAGAUACCCUGGUAGUCCAUGCCGUAAACGAUGAGUGCUAAGUGUUG
Molecule: ribosomal RNA, 712 nt
Filed under: uncultured bacterium
Lineage: Bacteria
Description: bacterial SSU rRNA
Rfam family: Bacterial small subunit ribosomal RNA
Source: RNAcentral